UAGGGAAUAUUGGACAAUGGGCGCAAGCCUGAUCCAGCAAUGCCGCGUGUGUGAAGAAGGCCUGCGGGUUGUAAAGCACUUUCAGUGGGAAGGACAAGCUUGAGGCUAAUACCCUCGGGCCUCGACGUGCACCACAGAAGAAGCACCGGCCAACUCCGUGCCAGCAGCCGCGGUAAUACGGAGGGUGCAAGCGUUAAUCGGAAUUACUGGGCGUAAAGCGCACGCAGGUGGCUGGGUCAGUCGGAUGUGAAAUCCCCGGGCUUAACCUGGGAAUUGCAUUCGAAACUGCCCGGCUAGAGUAUGGGAGAGGGAAGUGGAAUUCCCGGUGUAGCGGUGAAAUGCAUAGAUAUCGGGAGGAACACCAGUGGCGAAGGCGGCUUCCUGGCCCAAUACUGACACUCAGGUGCGAAAGCGUGGGGAGCAAACAGG
Molecule: ribosomal RNA, 429 nt
Filed under: uncultured Lysobacterales bacterium
Lineage: Bacteria; Pseudomonadati; Pseudomonadota; Gammaproteobacteria; Lysobacterales
Description: bacterial SSU rRNA
Rfam family: Bacterial small subunit ribosomal RNA
Source: RNAcentral